GCACCCGUAGCUCAGCUGGAUAGAGCGUCGCCCUCCGAAGGCGAAGGCCACACGUUCGAAUCGUGUCGGGUGCACCA
RNAcentral lists this transfer RNA (77 nucleotides) under Fibrobacteria bacterium. Its description in RNAcentral is "tRNA-Arg". It matches the Rfam family "tRNA". From Rfam's summary of the family: Transfer RNA (tRNA) molecules are approximately 80 nucleotides in length. Their secondary structure includes four short double-helical elements and three loops (D, anti-codon, and T loops). Lineage: Bacteria; Pseudomonadati; Fibrobacterota; Fibrobacteria. The record is from RNAcentral. RNAcentral also lists the same sequence under 4 other names.